UUUGAUCCUGGCUCAGGACGAACGCUGGCGGCGUGCCUAAUACAUGCAAGUCGAGCGAGCAGAACCAGCAGAUUUACUUCGGUAAUGACGCUGGGGACGCGAGCGGCGGAUGGGUGAGUAACACGUGGGGAACCUGCCCCAUAGUCUAGGAUACCACUUGGAAACAGGUGCUAAUACCGGAUAAUAAAGCAGAUCGCAUGAUCAGCUUAUAAAAGGCGGCGUAAGCUGUCGCUAUGGGAUGGCCCCGCGGUGCAUUAGCUAGUUGGUAAGGUAACGGCUUACCAAGGCAAUGAUGCAUAGCCGAGUUGAGAGACUGAACGGCCACAUUGGGACUGAGACACGGCCCAAACUCCUACGGGAGGCAGCAGUAGGGAAUCUUCCACAAUGGACGCAAGUCUGAUGGAGCAACGCCGCGUGAGUGAAGAAGGUUUUCGGAUCGUAAAGCUCUGUUGUUGGUGAAGAAGGAUAGAGGUAGUAACUGGCCUUUAUUUGACGGUAAUCAACCAGAAAGUCACGGCUAACUACGUGCCAGCAGCCGCGGUAAUACGUAGGUGGCAAGCGUUGUCCGGAUUUAUUGGGCGUAAAGCGAGCGCAGGCGGAAGAAUAAGUCUGAUGUGAAAGCCCUCGGCUUAACCGAGGAAUUGCAUCGGAAACUGUUUUCUUGAGUGCAGAAGAGGAGAGUGGAACUCCAUGUGUAGCGGUGGAAUGCGUAGAUAUAUGGAAGAACACCAGUGGCGAAGGCGGCUCUCUGGUCUGCAACUGACGCUGAGGCUCGAAAGCAUGGGUAGCGAACAGGAUUAGAUACCCUGGUAGUCCAUGCCGUAAACGAUGAGUGCUAAGUGUUGGGAGGUUUCCGCCUCUCAGUGCUGCAGCUAACGCAUUAAGCACUCCGCCUGGGGAGUACGACCGCAAGGUUGAAACUCAAAGGAAUUGACGGGGGCCCGCACAAGCGGUGGAGCAUGUGGUUUAAUUCGAAGCAACGCGAAGAACCUUACCAGGUCUUGACAUCUAGUGCCAUCCUAAGAGAUUAGGAGUUCCCUUCGGGGACGCUAAGACAGGUGGUGCAUGGCUGUCGUCAGCUCGUGUCGUGAGAUGUUGGGUUAAGUCCCGCAACGAGCGCAACCCUUAUUAUUAGUUGCCAGCAUUAAGUUGGGCACUCUAAUGAGACUGCCGGUGACAAACCGGAGGAAGGUGGGGAUGACGUCAAGUCAUCAUGCCCCUUAUGACCUGGGCUACACACGUGCUACAAUGGGCAGUACAACGAGAAGCGAGCCUGCGAAGGCAAGCGAAUCUCUGAAAGCUGUUCUCAGUUCGGACUGCAGUCUGCAACUCGACUGCACGAAGCUGGAAUCGCUAGUAAUCGCGGAUCAGAACGCCGCGGUGAAUACGUUCCCGGGCCUUGUACACACCGCCCGUCACACCAUGGAAGUCUGCAAUGCCCAAAGCCGGUGGCCUAACCUUCGGGAAGGAGCCGUCUAAGGCAGGGCAGAUGACUGGGGUGAAGUCGUAACAAGGUAGCCGUAGGAGAACCUGCGGCUGGAUCACCUCCUUUCUAAGGAAG
This 1561-nucleotide ribosomal RNA is filed under the name Lactobacillus helveticus R0052. RNAcentral's name for it is "bacterial SSU rRNA". It matches the Rfam family "Bacterial small subunit ribosomal RNA". Lineage: Bacteria; Bacillati; Bacillota; Bacilli; Lactobacillales; Lactobacillaceae. The record is from RNAcentral.